AGAUGACGAUGAUGAUGAUGAUAAUGAUGAUGUAAAAAAUUGCAAAUCACGAAAGCCGACAUCUUAGUUUUUGCGCUUCAUCAUCAUCAUCAUCAUUUGCU
RNAcentral lists this microRNA precursor (101 nucleotides) under Pediculus humanus corporis (human body louse). RNAcentral's name for it is "microRNA mir-598". The record is from RNAcentral. Lineage: Eukaryota; Metazoa; Arthropoda; Insecta; Psocodea; Pediculidae.